Molecule: RNA transcript, 4814 nt
Organism: Balaenoptera acutorostrata (minke whale)
Lineage: Eukaryota; Metazoa; Chordata; Mammalia; Artiodactyla; Balaenopteridae
Gene name: ATP-dependent RNA helicase DDX24-like
Exons: 11
Source: RefSeq, a predicted model, not a curated record
UUCCUUCCCAACGGAAAGGCGUGCGUGAGCGCAAGCCCCUCCCCGGAACUGCGGUGGACGCGGCCGAGGAGGGCUGGUGCAGCAGUGUCUGAGGUGGUUGGUCGGCGUCCCUCUACGGAUCUAUUUUUCUCGGCCUUUCUGAAAGGGGAGAACGUGGCUCGAGUUCCAGUCUGACGACUUGUUCAUAGAUCACUUGUUUUUAAAUCACUUAAAAGCAACCAUGAAGCUGAAAGAGAAAAAAUCGAGGCCAGAGCCACCAAACUAUGGCAGAAUUCAGAGGAAGGGCAUCAGAGUUGUGGGAAAAUGGAAGCAGGUGAAGAUUGACCCAAAUAUGUUUGCAAACGGACAGAUGGAUGACUUGGUGUGCUUUGAGGAACUGACGGAUUAUCAGUUGGUCUCCUCUGGGGAGGGUUCCUCCAGUCUCUUCUCAAAGGAGGAGCCCAAGAAGAGAAAGUCACAAGCUGUUUCAGAAGGAGAGGAGGAAGGAGAGUCUACCUCCUCAAAGAAGAAGAUGAAGUUGAAGAAGAGUAGAGCUGUGGAAACUGAAGGAAGCAGUGCCCAGAAAGUGUUUGAGGGCAAAGAUACUGAGCCAGGGCCCCAGGGAGAUGGCACAGUUUGUCCUGAUCCAGAGGUAGGGGAGAUGGCAUCAGAAAGCCCGGCCCAGACGGUUCCAAAAAAGAACAAGAAAGGGAAAAAAAAAUCAGAGCCUCCCCAGGGUACUACUCCAAAGGUGCCCAAAAGAGCAAAGACGUGGAUGCCUGAAAUGCGUGAUCACAAGGCAGAUGUAUCAGCUUGGAAGGAUCUGUUUGUACCCAAGCCAGUUCUCCGAGCGCUCAGCUUCCUAGGCUUCUCUGCGCCCACACCAGUCCAAGCUCUGACCUUGGCACCUGCCAUUCGUGACAAACUGGACAUCCUUGGGGCUGCUGAGACAGGAAGUGGGAAAACUCUUGCCUUUGCCAUUCCAAUGAUUCAUGCGGUGCUGCAGUGGCAGGUGAAGAAGAAGCCUAUCCCAGCUCUAAGAAACACAGGAGCACCACUUGGGAAGACCAGUAAUGAGGCUGGAGUUGAGACAGGAUCACCAGGCAGGGCUGGAACUGAGUCUGGAGCUUUGCCUGCUGAGAUUGGAAUUGAGGGUGAAGCACUGCCCAGUGAGGCUGGAGCGAAGGCUAGAGCACCACGCAGCCAGGCAAGAGCCAAGAUUGGAGCUACAGUCUCAAACCAGGUGCUGCCCUCCUGUGAUGAUGAUGAUGAUGAUGAUGAUGAUGAUGAUGAUGAUGAUGAUGCCGGUGAAGGACCUUCUUCCCUGAUCAGGGAGACGCCCAUUCCCAAACAGGAUGAAAACAAGGAGGACAAGCUUGAUGAAGAGCAGACUAGAAAGUUCAAACAAGAAUUGGGUGGCAGAAUUGCACAUCCAAGGCGUCCUUUGCUUGGACUGGUUCUGACUCCCACUCGAGAGCUAGCCGUUCAAGUCAAACAACACAUUGAUGCUGUGGCCAAGUUUACAGGCAUUAAAACUGCUAUUUUGGUUGGUGGAAUGUCCACACAGAAACAGCAGAGGAUGCUGAACCGUCAGCCUGAGAUUGUGAUUGCCACUCCAAGCCGGCUGUGGGAGCUAGUUAAAGAAAAGCACCCUCAUUUGAGCAACCUUCGGCAGCUCAGGUGCCUGGUGGUCGAUGAGGCUGACCGCAUGGUUGAGAAAGGCCACUUUGCUGAGCUCUCAAAGCUGCUAGAGAUGCUCAGUGAUUCCCAGUACAACCCAAAGAGACAGACACUUGUUUUUUCGGCCACGCUGACCCUGGUACAUCAAGCUCCUGCUCGAAUCCUUCACAAGAAGCACGCUAAGAAAAUUGACAAAACUGCCAAACUUGACCUCCUCAUGCAGAAGAUUGGCAUGAGGGGCAAGCCCAAGGUCAUCGACCUUACAAGAAAGGAGGCCACGGUAGAGACACUUACAAAGACCAAGAUCCAUUGUGAGACUGAUGAGAAAGACUUAUAUCUGUACUACUUCCUGAGGCAGUAUGCAGGCCGCACCUUAGUGUUUGCCAACAGUAUCUCCUGCAUCAAACGCCUCUCUGGGCUCCUCAAAGUCCUGGAUAUCAUGCCACUGACCCUACAUGCCUGCAUGCACCAGAAGCAGAGGCUCAGAAACCUGGAGCAGUUUGCCCAUCUGGAGGAUUGUGUUCUCCUGGCAACAGAUGUGGCAGCUCGGGGCCUGGAUAUUCCUAAAGUCCAGCAUGUCAUCCAUUACCAGGGCUGCUGUCACUGUGACCAGAGAUAGUGGUGUCCUUGGCUCUGCACCUAGUGUUCCCACACUGCCUCCAAGAUGUCAGCUAAAGCCAUAGAGAGCGGGGGAGGAGAUGCCAUUGACCCCUUCCGGCCGGAAUCCCCCUCUGAUGACUUAGCUUUGGAACCAAACCCUUCUGACCACCCAAGGCCAAGCACAGUUUUUCGGAGCAAAUCUCAAACAGAGGUGCGGGAAAAGAGGACGAGCAGCCCUUUAAACCAUGUAAGUAAACAGUUGAAAAGUUAAGAAAUUAAUAGUUUGAAUUAAAAAUAUGUCUGCCAUGAUUCCUAAAAAUAUGAUGGAUCCAAUACUGUUAGCAUGGACCUCUUUUUGGUAGAUUUUCUAAAUCUCUCUUUUCCUAAUUAUCAAAUGUAUUCAGGAAAGUCUUUGACUUAGUAGUGCCCAUUUUUUAAGGGUUCUGACAUUUAAGUUAAAUUUCACUAAUAUGGUUGUAGUAUAAAGAUCUGCCUUAAAUUCUUUUGCCUUAUUUUUUUGAUCUUAUUUUUUAACCAAAGGAAUAAAAGUAUAACAGGUAAGUUAAUUUUUAGCACUGUCCAUUGACUUCUUGUCAUAGCAGGUGAAAGCUUAGCUUCUUCGGUCCACCGUGACGUUAUUUCCCUCCCUGUGUUCCCUCAACGUGUAUCAGUUUUUACUAAAUCAGAAUCAAUGUUUACAUUACUACGACUCUGCAAAUAUUGUGCACUGCUGAGCCAUAUAGUUCUCUGACUGUGCCUCCUCCUUGUACGCCCUUCAUUCUUCUUCUUCAAUAUUAAUGAAAUUGGAGCCCUUCUGCACUUCUCUAGGAUAACCCAACCCCCCCUUUUCCUAGCCAACGUGAUCUCACACAGCCACAUGCAGUAAGUAGCUCCCUGCCCGGUCUCCCUGCUUUCACAUUCUUCAUUUUUUCUGUGGAAUUAAUUUCCUGACUAUAUUCACUUGCCUGUUUUCUAACAGCUAUUUUUUUCCCCAAAUGUUUUAACAUUUGUCACAUGCCUAUCAAAAAUAUUUUCCGUCUACUAAGCCACAUCUGUUCCAUUUUUUUCUUGGAGACACUUUUCCCCAAUCUUUUGUCUUCCUACUCCCAUAUAGACUGGUGUUCCCCUAGGCCUGCUCUAUGCCUCUUUUCCUGGGAUAUCUGUGUGAAGUCAUCUGGGAUCUCACAUAACUCUGCUCUCUUAUGUUGGAUCCCCUAUGUCCUAGAUUCUGUUUCCCUCUUGUCUUGUUAUACUUCCUUGUUUUACUGGAGCACAUUUUCGUGGGAAAAGGGCACAUGGGCAGAAAGUUUAUAGAGAUCUAGCCUCUCUGAAACUCCUUCUAUUUGAUAAAGUAUAGAAUUCUCAGUUGAAACUAAUUUUUGCAGUUCUAAAGACACUUCCCUCUCAUCUUCUCAUUUACACUGUUGCUCUUAAACCUGUUGACAUUGUAUGGUACAUUGUACAUUACCGAUUGUAGUCAUUUCCCCCCAUCCCUUCCUUCUCGGGAACCUUUUAGUACCUUCCCUCUCCCUGGGAUUUUGAAAUUUCAUAAUUUGGUUUGGUAUAGACCUUUUUUGUGUGUUUCUUUGACAUUCUGUUUUUUUCUUCCAGGUUCCUAUUAUUCGGAUGUUGGAAGUCUUAGACUUACCAGAUCGCUAACUUUUUUCCCCUCCUGCUUUGCAUUUUGUCUUUUUGUCCUGCUUCCUGGAGAUUUCCUUGACUGUGCUCUAAUCCUUCUAUUGAAUAUAUUGUUUUGUCUACCUUAUUUUCAAUUUAUAGAGUUCUCUUAUAUCCUGUCAUUCUUUUUUUCACUGGUGCAAUUUCAAGUUUUCAUUUGCUCCUGAGUUUUUAUCACUCCCAUCAAUUCCUUCUUCCUGUUUUGUUUUGUGUUUUUUUAAAGCAUCCUUAUAUUUUAUUUUAUUUAUUUAUUUUUUGGCUGCAUUGGGUCUUGGUUUCUGCACGUGGGCUUUCUCUGGUUGCGGUGAGCUGGGCCUACUCUUUGUUGGGUGCGUGGGCUUCUCAUUGCAGUGGCUUCUCUUGUUGCGGAGCACAGGCUCUAGGGCGUGUGGGCUUCAGUAGUUGUGGCUCAUGGGCUCUAGAGCGCAGGCUCAGUAGUUGUGGCGCAUGGGCUCAGUUGCUCUGUGGUAUGUGGGAUCUUUCUGGGCCAGGGCUCGAACCCGUGUCCCCUGCAUUGGCAGGCGGAUUCUUAACCACUGCGCCACCAGGGAAGUCCCAUUCCUUCUUCCUGUUUUGAUCUCUUACUUGUUGGGGGCUUCCCUCAAACGUGUGAUGGUCCUUGGCUGUCUGUUAAGAUCUAAUUGGAAGCAUCACUUGGACAACUCGUUAACUGAUGGGCCUCACUGCAAGGAUUUGGGGACCACGCCUCUGAACCCUGAGCCUGCCUUGGGUUCUGUAAGACGAACUGGUUUUCUUGUUCCUGUCCUAGUCACUCUCCGUAGGUACCAAGGUUGUGCUUCCUCCUUUCUGCCAUGUCAGUUACCACUCCUUUAUCUAGUCUUUUCACCUUUCAAACAUUAAAAAUCAUCUGCUGUUUA